GGACGGGUGAGUAACGCGUGGGUAACCUGCCUCAUACAGGGGGAUAACAGUUAGAAAUGACUGCUAAUACCGCAUAAGACCACAGCACCGCAUGGUGCAGGGGUAAAAACUCCGGUGGUAUGAGAUGGACCCGCGUCUGAUUAGGUAGUUGGUGGGGUAACGGCCUACCAAGCCGACGAUCAGUAGCCGACCUGAGAGGGUGACCGGCCACAUUGGGACUGAGACACGGCCCAA
RNAcentral lists this ribosomal RNA (234 nucleotides) under uncultured bacterium. RNAcentral describes it as "partial 16S ribosomal RNA". It matches the Rfam family "Bacterial small subunit ribosomal RNA", at positions 100 to 334 of the family's 1533-position model. The record is from RNAcentral.